This 74-nucleotide transfer RNA is filed under the name Candidatus Woesearchaeota archaeon. RNAcentral's name for it is "tRNA-Arg". It matches the Rfam family "tRNA". Rfam says of the family: Transfer RNA (tRNA) molecules are approximately 80 nucleotides in length. Their secondary structure includes four short double-helical elements and three loops (D, anti-codon, and T loops). Further hydrogen bonds mediate the characteristic L-shaped molecular structure. tRNAs have two regions of fundamental functional importance: the anti-codon, which is responsible for specific mRNA codon recognition, and the 3' end, to which the tRNAs corresponding amino acid is attached (by aminoacyl-tRNA synthetases). tRNAs cope with the degeneracy of the genetic code in two manners: having more than one tRNA (with a specific anti-codon) for a particular amino acid; and 'wobble' base-pairing, i.e. permitting non-standard base-pairing at the 3rd anti-codon position. The record is from RNAcentral. Lineage: Archaea; Nanobdellati; Candidatus Woesearchaeota.
GCCCUCGUAGUUUAGCUUGGAUAGAAUACGAGCUUGCGGAGCUUGUGACACAGGUUCAAAUCCUGUCGAGGGCG